RNAcentral lists this ribosomal RNA (465 nucleotides) under Vreelandella stevensii. RNAcentral's name for it is "partial 16S ribosomal RNA". It matches the Rfam family "Bacterial small subunit ribosomal RNA", at positions 338 to 795 of the family's 1533-position model. The record is from RNAcentral. Lineage: Bacteria; Pseudomonadati; Pseudomonadota; Gammaproteobacteria; Oceanospirillales; Halomonadaceae.
CCUACGGGUGGCAGCAGUGGGGAAUAUUGGACAAUGGGCGAAAGCCUGAUCCAGCCAUGCCGCGUGUGUGAAGAAGGCCUUCGGGUUGUAAAGCACUUUCAGUGGGGAAGAAAGCCUUGGGGCUAAUACCCUCGAGGAAGGACAUCACCCACAGAAGAAGCACCGGCUAACUCCGUGCCAGCAGCCGCGGUAAUACGGAGGGUGCGAGCGUUAAUCGGAAUUACUGGGCGUAAAGCGCGCGUAGGCGGUCUGAUAAGCCGGUUGUGAAAGCCCCGGGCUCAACCUGGGAAUGGCAUCCGGAACUGUCAGGCUAGAGUGCAGGAGAGGAAGGUAGAAUUCCCGGUGUAGCGGUGAAAUGCGUAGAGAUCGGGAGGAAUACCAGUGGCGAAGGCGGUCUUCUGGACUGACACUGACGCUGAGGUGCGAAAGCGUGGGUAGCAAACAGGAUUAGAUACCCUUGUAGUC